This 450-nucleotide ribosomal RNA is filed under the name uncultured bacterium. Its description in RNAcentral is "bacterial SSU rRNA". It matches the Rfam family "Bacterial small subunit ribosomal RNA", at positions 354 to 796 of the family's 1533-position model. The record is from RNAcentral.
GUGGGGAAUAUUGGACAAUGGGCGAAAGCCUGAUCCAGCCAUGCCGCGUGUGUGAAGAAGGUCUUCGGAUUGUAAAGCACUUUAAGUUGGGAGGAAGGGCAGUAAGUUAAUACCUUGCUGUUUUGACGUUACCGACAGAAUAAGCACCGGCUAACUUCGUGCCAGCAGCCGCGGUAAUACGAAGGGUGCAAGCGUUAAUCGGAAUUACUGGGCGUAAAGCGCGCGUAGGUGGUUUUGUAAGUUGGAGGUGAAAUCCCCGGGCUCAACCUGGGAAAUUCCUCCAAAACUGCAUGACUAGAGUACGGUAGAGGGUAGUGGAAUUUCCUGUGUAGCGGUGAAAUGCGUAGAUAUAGGAAGGAACACCAGUGGCGAAGGCGACUACCUGGACUGAUACUGACACUGAGGUGCGAAAGCGUGGGGAGCAAACAGGAUUAGAAACCCGAGUAGUCC